AAUUAUUGUAUGACAACUACAAUAAUAAGUUUUAAGAGCUCUACUUUGUUCCAGAAUAUUCAUUGGCAUGGCAAGGAAAGGUAAAUUGUGUCAGGCAGAUGCAAAAAUCUUCCUCCCCACCUCACCUCCAUGACAAUUAGAGUAUCUUAGUGACGUCAUUGCUCUAAUGAGCUAGUCUUCCAGCCCAAAUAAAUAGAUGUUUUAGGGACCUUUUGCAAAACAAGAUAAAUGUGACUAUGUGGCCAUCUCUGGGACUAUAAUCACAUGUAACAAGCUCGGAGUGAGAUUUAAUCCUAGGGCAUUUUGAAAGACUCCAGAGUAUAUAUACCUGUCUUCCUUUUAUUUCUCUAUUGCUUUAUAGCCCAAGUCGAUGGGAACAUUUUUGUUUUGUUUUUUUACAUUUUGUUUGUACAUUUGUUUAAUUGCCCUUUGGGCUUCACUUUAAAAAAAAUACUGGAUUUCAUUUGUUUACAAUUUAAUCUUUGAUCUUACACAGUUAGAGUGACAGUUCUUUAAAAAAUCAACAGCAUAAAUGUAUGUUUUCUGGUAUUGAUAAUACCACAGAUUCAUGAUGAUAAAAAGCCAAGGUUUUAGCAGAACUAUAAGUUUAUUCUUCAAUUUCAGUUCUUUGUUUCAAUUCCAUUUUAUUUCUUACAUAAGCAGGUGAGCAUGCUUCAAAAAAUUGCCAUUCCGGAGAGCAGUUUUUCUUUCUGAAGGGUAUAUCCAGUCCACAAAAGUGUUGUCACGAAGCCAAACGCGGUCAUCCAAAGGACAAAUGUACCAUUGCCACACAGAACAGAAAAGAAAAUAAUCAACAUUAGGUUUUAAAUGCACAUAGUUACUUCAGAUUGUUUGAACUACCAACAGCCAUUAUGGGAGAACUUUUAAAGAUUUAAAUUCAGGAGUUCAGCGUUUAAAAAAGAGUAGCAGAAUAAUGUUGACUUUUAAUGUGUUAGGGAGCUAUAUUAUUUUCUCAUUUCAAGAAAGUCAAAGCCUAUUCAAGUUCAUUUUGAGAAUUUACGUAUGGUUUUAAAACGCCAUGUCAUUUUUUAUCAUUAAUACAGUAAUGCUUAUCUUUACUUUUCAUUCUAGAAUUUCUUAGUGUUCAGUAUGCCCCUUAAUAAAUUAUUAUUUAUUAAGCCAAUUGUCUUCCACUGUGAAAUUAUGCACUUACCUAUACUGCUAAAGUUUGGACAGAAUUUAAAUGGUAUUUAUGGUAUAAUUCAGAUAAAUCAUCCUUUUCCCUACAGAGCAAACAAGAGAAAUCAACAUUUCUUUGUCUGCUGGUGGCUAGAUUUUGUUCCCUCAGGAAUAUUUGUAAACAACUGUUGCCAUUGCUAAACCUCAGGAGAAAUGGAUUAAUAAAAUGUUUAGGAAAAUUAUCAGAAAAAAAUGAAUCCCCUUUAAUCCCUUGGGUGAGGUGCCAUGGUUAAAUCCCCUAAAGCUUCAUUAUCCAUGAGUGUAUUUAUCUGAAACCUUGAAAAUGGACAUUUAAGGAGUUAAUACAAAGUCCAGGUUGUUUAAGCUUCAUAUAUUUUUAAUUACACCACUAUGUCCGUAUUUGUGCAGAAAUUUUGGUCCAGUUUAGUUGCCUCAACUUAGUUUUUCCUGUGCCUUCAUUCCGAGCUCCUACAGCAAGUUUUAAGAAAGAUGGGUUUUAAACCUUUUGUUUCCUGCCCGACUGAAUACCUUGACGUUUUUCUCAUUUAUAUACAGGAACAAACACAUGCCACACACACACAAAGUCGAUACUGUUGACCUUUGCUUUAUUUCUAGGAACUGGGACUAUCUGGACUCGGUGUCAGCCACUACUCGUAUCGUAUCAAAGUUCUCCUCAGUAGAAGGAUCUGUUGAAUAUUUUUGCCUCCCAGCUGAGCAAGGGGAAUACUGUCAGCUUUUUAAAAUACAGUCUAAAUGCUUGGUUAUAACUACUCAUCUGUCAAGUUGACACCUCAUUAAAAAAAAAAAGAUGAGAGAGUUAACAUUACAAGGCCCUAGAAGAAAGACAUGUUGCAAUUCAAGUCCGUAUUCUUAACCUUGUCCUGUUACUGUGAAGACUCAUGGGUCUGUCCAGUUAGUCUCUCCUCAUUGCCUGAAAGCAUCCCUUGCUCCAGCGGUCCUUGUCUCACAAAUCAUUCUCCAGCCAACUUUUCACAUUUUCUCUUCACGCUUGAGACUGCUUCAUGGGAUCCUGAUCAUUUGGUGUUUCUUCUCCUUUCCUUUUUGAGCAAAGUGAGGACAAAUGAGUCAGAAAGAGGAGAGAAGAUAAAGAGGGUGACUAACUCAGGACCACUUCUGUCACUUGUAGUGGCUGAGGGCCAGGCGAUACUCCAGUGACACGCUCCCAGCUGGCCCCAUCACACGGCCAUCAAGAACCUACUGUGAUCAUCAGAUACUACAUCAGAUACUUCGACAUUUAUUCCUUACAGCUAAAUCUUUAAGGAAGGAUAGUGCACAUACUGAGUGAAGGAAUCAGACUUCAGAAUCCUCUUAAGCUCCAGACUUCUCCCGGACUCCCUCCUGGCCAGCUGUGGCGCACUAACCCCCUUCAGGCUGUGUUCACGCCGCCAACCCCAGACCUCUCCCAGGGAUCCGACCGAAGCCUGAGCCUCAGCUCCCAGCCCCUGCCCGCCCCGGCGGGUGAGCAGACAAGCCUCUCGGCCUGGUGAGUGCUGGGCGGCACCGAUCCUCUGUGCGGGAAUCUCCCCGCUUUGCCCUCCGCACCCUGUGGCUGCGCUCUCCUCCAAGGCUCCGAAGCUUCCCCCCUCCGCCACCCGCAGUCUCUGCCCACGAAGGGGCUCCUAGUGUGUGGAAACCUUUCUUCCUUCACAGCUCCCUCCCACUGCUGCAGGUCCCGUCCCUAUUCUUUUGUCUCUGUUUAUUCUUUUUUCUUUUGCCCUACCCAGGUAUGUGGGGAGUUUCUUGACUUUUGAGAGGUCUGAGGUCUUCUGCCAGUGCUCAGUGGGUGUUCUGUAGGAGUUGUUCCACGUGUAGAUGUAUUUCUGAUGUAUCUGUGGGGAGGAAGGUGAUCUCCACGUCUAACUUUUCAGCCAUCUUGAAGGUCUGUCUGUCUCUCCUUAACUAGUUUUAAUGGUAAAUUUUACUGUGAGUAAACAUGAAUGAUAUAUGUGCAGUUUGUAUAAACAAACACUUUGUUUCUUUUUUAAAAAAUAAUUUAGUAUGUUUGUUUUUUUAAAAAUUUAUUUAUUUACUUAUUUUUGUCUGCGUUGGGCCUUCAUUGCUGCGUGCGGGCUUUCUCUAGUUGUUUCGAGCAGGGGCUACUCUUCGUUGUGGUGUACGGGCUUCUCAUUGUGGCUACUCUUGUUUCAGAGCACGGGAUCUAGGUGCACGAGCUUCAGUAGUUGUGGCUCGUGGCCUCUGGAGCGCAGGCUCAGCUCAGUAGUUCUGGCACACGGGCUUAGUUCCGUGGCAUGUGGGAUCUUCCCAGACCAGGGCUCGAACUCAUGUCCCCUGCAUUGGCAUAUGGAUUCUCAUCCACUGCACCACCAGGGAAGCCCUAAACACCUUGUUUCCAUUUAUCUGAUGCAAGGGCAAGUUCAUGGUGUUUUUGAAAAAUGAAUCAUAGAAAGUUUGGAGAAUGUUCAGUCCAAUUUAGUCAACAAAUGAGAAAAGUGAUCUUCAGAGUGAUAAUUAUUUUAUUCAAGAUAACUAGCACAUGACCAAGGCAGAACGAGACCCUGUCCUUCUGAUCACUUGCCCAAGUCGGUGUUUACCACUUGGGCGUUGUUAACUUAAUAAGAGCACGUGUAAUUACGUUAAAAAGGAAUGUUUAAGCAACAGUGCUGAAAAGGAGAAUAUAAUAUGGAUGGCAGGGAAGUGAUUUUUUAAGACAUUCUCAGAGCAGAUGUUAACGGCCAGCAGGCACGGCCUGGAUGUUCUUGGAGGCUCACAGGGGAGUGAGACAAAAUCAAUUUCUUAUUCUAGUCCCUCGCUUCUAUGCAUUUAAAUGGUCCUGCGGCAGCCUUAACAUCUAUAGUCCCUUUAAUAAGAGACAGCAUGGGGCUUUGCUGGUGGCGCAGUGGUUAAGAAUCCGCUUGACAAUGCAGGGGACACGGGUUCGAGCCCUGAUCCAGGAAGAUCCCACAUGCCGUGGAGCAGCUAAACCUGUGCACCAAAACUACUGAUCCUGCGCUCUAGAGCCCGCAAGCCGCAACUACUGAGCCCACACACCACAACUACUGAGCCCACGCGCCUAGAGCCCGUGCUCCGCAACAAGAGAAGCCACCGCAAUGAGAAGCCCGCGCACCACAACGAAGAGUAGCCCCCGCUCGCCACAACUAGAGAAAGUCUGCGCAGCAACCAAGACCCAAGGCAGCCAAAAAUAACUAAACAAAUAAAUUUAUAAAAAAAAAAAUAUAGCAUGAACUUUUGUUUCGUUUUCUUGGUCUGUAUUGUUGUGAUUUCUUUUCAGCACACAGAUAGUACCCUGGAGCAUUCCUCUAGAAUAUGUAAAGGUAAGACGGGAGGAGUAAUUGUUCUCCCAAAUUAGAGUUGGUAACAGAUAAUUUAGGGAGUUGAAGUUUCAAGUACCAUGUAUUUAUUUUUGUUUUUGUUUUCAUCACAGGGAAUAGAGAGGGAUCUGGGGCACGACGUUUAUUUAAUCUAAAAGGACAGCCAAGGGCUUCCCUGGUGGCGCAGUGGUUGAGAAUCUGCCUGCUAAUGCAGGAGACACGGGUUCGAGCCCUGGUCUGGGAAGAUCCCACAUGCCGCGGAGCAACUGGGCCCGUGAGCCACAACUACUGAGCCUGCGCGUCUGGAGCCUGUGCUCCGCAGCGAGAGAGGCUGCGAUAGUGAGAGGCCCGCGCACCGCGAUGAAGAGUGGCCCCCGCUCGCCACAGCUAGAGAAAGCCCUCGCACAGAAACGAAGACCCAACACAGCAAAAAUAAAUAAAUUAAUAAACUCCUAUCCCCAACAUACAUAAAAAAAAAAUAAAUAAAAAAUAAAAUAAAAUAAAAGGACAGCCACUUAAAAACAUACAAAGGACUUUUUCCUGGCAGUGUUGUUAUUACAGCUCAGAAGAUGCUGUUUGUUUUAUAUUCAGCCUCUACUCUGGUUAAAGAAGGCAAUUUGUUCCUCCUCAAAGGUUUUCAAGAUGGAUUUAAAAUAUUUUGACUUUUAAGUUAUGCAGUUUUUUCCAAAACUUUAAAAGCCAAUUCAGGAUCAGCUCCCCCUGUUCCAACGCCAAAGGAAGAUUAAAAUAAUAACUCACACAGAUGCCCACACUACCCGAAAAUGUGCACUUUGGGAAGUUAGGUGUUUGUUAAAUACAAUUUGAACAUAAGUG
Long non-coding RNA from Physeter macrocephalus (sperm whale), 5306 nucleotides. RefSeq lists it as uncharacterized. The record is from RefSeq and is a predicted model, not a curated record. The transcript is spliced from 5 exons. NCBI's taxonomy places the organism in Eukaryota, Metazoa, Chordata, Mammalia, Artiodactyla, Physeteridae.